GCUCCUAGUACGAGAGGACCGGAGUGGACGAACCUCUGGUGUUCCGGUUGUCACGCCAGUGGCAUUGCCGGGUAGCUACGUUCGGACAGGAUAACCGCUGAAAGCAUCUAAGCGGGAAGCCCCUCCCAAGAUUAAUUCUCACUGAACCUUUAAGGUUCCUGAAGGGCCGUGGAAGACUACCACGUUGAUAGGCUGGGUGUGGAAGUGCAGUAAUGCAUGAAGCUAACCAGUACUAAUUGCCCGUGAGGCUUGACCAUAUAACACCCAAGAGUU
RNAcentral lists this ribosomal RNA (273 nucleotides) under Thiolapillus brandeum. Its description in RNAcentral is "partial 23S ribosomal RNA". It matches the Rfam family "Bacterial large subunit ribosomal RNA", at positions 2674 to 2925 of the family's 2925-position model. Lineage: Bacteria; Pseudomonadati; Pseudomonadota; Gammaproteobacteria; Chromatiales; Sedimenticolaceae. The record is from RNAcentral.